This 252-nucleotide unclassified non-coding RNA is filed under the name Hevea brasiliensis (rubber tree). Lineage: Eukaryota; Viridiplantae; Streptophyta; Magnoliopsida; Malpighiales; Euphorbiaceae. The record is from RNAcentral.
AUAUUUCUUUCUUUUGCUGUGAAGUUCUGUGGAUGCGUUUGACAGUCUUGUAGAUGCUUGCAGUUCAGGCCCUUCCAGAAGAGCCGUCACACCAGUUUCGUAUCCUCCAAAAAUGUGUUAUAUUUGAAGGAGAUCUGACUUGGGGUGAGGUGAUAUUUUUAGAGGAUCUGGGCAACAUAGCCUCCAAUUCAGAAGUUAUAAUCUGAGAGAUGCUGUUGCCUCAGAAAUACAAAAUUAAUCUUUGUAGGCAUG